Molecule: ribosomal RNA, 330 nt
Filed under: uncultured eukaryote
Lineage: Eukaryota
Description: partial 18S ribosomal RNA
Rfam family: Eukaryotic small subunit ribosomal RNA
Source: RNAcentral
CCCUUAGAUGUUCUGGGCCGCACGCGCGCUACACUGAUGCAUUCAACGAGUCUAAAACCUGCUCUGAUAGGGGUGGGUAAUCUUUUGAAUGUGCAUCGUGAUUGGGAUAGAUGAUUGCAAUUUUUCAUCUUCAACGAGGAAUGCCUAGUAAACGCAAGUCAUCAGCUUGCAUUGAUUACGUCCCUGCCCUUUGUACAUACCGCCCGUCGCUCCUACCGAUUGAAUGAUCCGAUGAAUAUCAUAGACUGAGAGUAUAAGCAGGUUCGCCUGUCUUUGCUUCUCGGGAAGUGAAGUAAAUCUUAUCAUUUAGAGGAAGGAGAAGUCGUAACA